UGGGGAAUUUUGGACAAUGGGGGAAACCCUGAUCCAGCCAUCCCGCGUGUGCGAUGAAGGCCUUCGGGUUGUAAAGCACUUUUGUCAGGAAAGAAACGUCAUGGGUUAAUACCCCGUGAAACUGACGGUACCUGCAGAAUAAGCACCGGCUAACUACGUGCCAGCAGCCGCGGUAAUACGUAGGGUGCAAGCGUUAAUCGGAAUUACUGGGCGUAAAGCGUGCGCAGGCGGUUCGGAAAGAAAGAUGUGAAAUCCCAGAGCUCAACUUUGGAACUGCAUUUUUAACUACCGGGCUAGAGUGUGUCAGAGGGAGGUGGAAUUCCGCGUGUGGCAGUGAAAUGCGUAGAUAUGCGGAGGAACACCGAUGGCGAAGGCAGCCUCCUGGGAUAACACUGACGCUCAUGCACGAAAGCGUGGGGAGCAAACAGG
Molecule: ribosomal RNA, 429 nt
Filed under: Acidobacteriota bacterium
Lineage: Bacteria; Pseudomonadati; Acidobacteriota
Description: Acidobacteria bacterium partial 16S ribosomal RNA
Rfam family: Bacterial small subunit ribosomal RNA
Source: RNAcentral